CCUACGGGCGGCAGCAGUGGGGAAUAUUGGACAAUGGGCGAAAGCCUGAUCCAGCCAUGCCGCGUGUGUGAAGAAGGCCUUCGGGUUGUAAAGCACUUUCAGUGGGGAAGAAAGCCUUGGGGCUAAUACCCUCGAGGAAGGACAUCACCCACAGAAGAAGCACCGGCUAACUCCGUGCCAGCAGCCGCGGUAAUACGGAGGGUGCGAGCGUUAAUCGGAAUUACUGGGCGUAAAGCGCGCGUAGGCGGUCUGAUAAGCCGGUUGUGAAAGCCCCGGGCUCAACCUGGGAACGGCAUCCGGAACUGUCAGGCUAGAGUGCAGGAGAGGAAGGUAGAAUUCCGGGUGUAGCGGUGAAAUGCGUAGAGAUCGGGAGGAAUACCAGUGGCGAAGGCGGCCUUCUGGACUGACACUGACGCUGAGGUGCGAAAGCGUGGGUAGCAAACAGGAUUAGAUACCCCUGUAGUC
This 465-nucleotide ribosomal RNA is filed under the name Vreelandella stevensii. Its description in RNAcentral is "partial 16S ribosomal RNA". It matches the Rfam family "Bacterial small subunit ribosomal RNA", at positions 338 to 795 of the family's 1533-position model. Lineage: Bacteria; Pseudomonadati; Pseudomonadota; Gammaproteobacteria; Oceanospirillales; Halomonadaceae. The record is from RNAcentral.